Molecule: unclassified non-coding RNA, 288 nt
Filed under: uncultured fungus
Lineage: Eukaryota; Fungi
Description: sequence contains ITS1, 5.8S rRNA gene
Rfam family: 5.8S ribosomal RNA (bases 240-288)
Source: RNAcentral
UUUCCGUAGGUGAACCUGCGGAAGGAUCAUUAUUGAAUUUGCAACGGGGGCGCCCUGUCUGGCCUGCGCCGGUGGCGACGCCGUGUCGCGGUCUGCUCGGCGCCCUCUUCCAAACCCAAACCCCUGUGAACCUUUGGGAGGGCGCGACGCGUUCGCGAAGCGCCCUCUCGUUUCCUUAACCAACUCUGAUGUCUAUUUGAAUGUGCGAAUCGGUGCAGCCCCGAUGUCGAAUUUGAAACAACUUUCAACAACGGAUCUCUUGGCUCUCGCAUCGAUGAAGAACGCAGC